AGUGAACGCUGGCGGUAGGCCUAACACAUGCAAGUCGAACGGCAGCACAGUAAGAGCUUGCUCUUACGGGUGGCGAGUGGCGGACGGGUGAGGAAUACAUCGGAAUCUACUUUUUCGUGGGGGAUAACGUAGGGAAACUUACGCUAAUACCGCAUACGACCUACGGGUGAAAGCAGGGGAUCUUCGGACCUUGCGCGAUUGAAUGAGCCGAUGUCGGAUUAGCUAGUUGGCGGGGUAAAGGCCCACCAAGGCGACGAUCCGUAGCUGGUCUGAGAGGAUGAUCAGCCACACUGGAACUGAGACACGGUCCAGACUCCUGCGGGAGGCAGCAGUGGGGAAUAUUGGACAAUGGGCGCAAGCCUGAUCCAGCUAUACCGCGUGGGUGAAGAAGGCCUUCGGGUUGUAAAGCCCUUUUGUUGGGAAAGAAAAGCAGCAGGUUAAUACCCCGCUGUUCUGACGGUACCCAAAGAAUAAGCACCGGCUAACUUCGUG
This 492-nucleotide ribosomal RNA is filed under the name uncultured bacterium. Its description in RNAcentral is "partial 16S ribosomal RNA". It matches the Rfam family "Bacterial small subunit ribosomal RNA", at positions 29 to 507 of the family's 1533-position model. The record is from RNAcentral.